This is a long non-coding RNA of Poecilia latipinna (sailfin molly), 105 nucleotides long. RefSeq lists it as uncharacterized. Lineage: Eukaryota; Metazoa; Chordata; Actinopteri; Cyprinodontiformes; Poeciliidae. The record is from RefSeq and is a predicted model, not a curated record. The transcript has 3 exons.
UUAGAUCAGUCAUUCUUUAGCUUAUUUGAUCAGAAACUGUUGAGUGCUCACUAUUUAGAAAUUGAAUUAGAUACUUAGCAACUCAGAACUGGAGCAGUUUAACAU